AGGAUCUGAGGUGAACCUGCAGAUGGAUCA
This 30-nucleotide ribosomal RNA is filed under the name Cloacina linstowi. RNAcentral's name for it is "partial 18S ribosomal RNA". The record is from RNAcentral. Lineage: Eukaryota; Metazoa; Nematoda; Chromadorea; Rhabditida; Strongylidae.